GAUGAACGCUGGCGGCGUGCCUAAUACAUGCAAGUCGAACGAAAAAUCUUUAUCACCUAGUGCUUGCACGCACCGAUGAAGAGUUGAGUGGUAAACGGGUGAGUAACACGUGGGCAACCCGCCCAAACGAGGGGGAUAACACGUGAAAACAGGUGCUAAUAGCGCAUAACCAUAGUUACCGCAGGGUAGCUAUGUAAACGGUGGGUAUACUACCCCCUUUGUAUGGGCCCACGGCGCAUUAGCUAGUUGGUAGGGUAAAGGCUUACCAAGGCAACGAUGCGUAGCCGAAUUGAGAGGUUGAUCGGCCACAUUGGGACUGAGACACGGCCCAAACUCCUACGGGAGGCAGCAGUAGGGAAUCUUCCACAAUGGGCGAAAGCCUGAUGGAGCAACGCCGCGUGGGUGAAGAAGGUCUUCGGAUCGUAAAACCCUGUUGUUAGAGAAGAAAGUGCGUGAGAGUAACUGUUCACGUUUCGACGGUAUCUAACCAGAAAGCCACGGCUAACUACGUG
RNAcentral lists this ribosomal RNA (512 nucleotides) under uncultured bacterium. RNAcentral's name for it is "partial 16S ribosomal RNA". It matches the Rfam family "Bacterial small subunit ribosomal RNA", at positions 28 to 507 of the family's 1533-position model. The record is from RNAcentral.